UUCUCACCCAAUUAUCUUUAUUAAAUAUGUCUGCGGGACUCCGUAUGAGUGAUAGAGCCCCUGCGUAAUCAUCCAUUGGAUACCCUUUGAGGGAGGUUCGGACUUUGAAGGAUAGUAUCCGCGAAUUUUUGUAUCAGUUUUGGCGACCCAGAUGGGAUCAUCUCUGUCCGGCUGCAGGACCCCCUGAGACGGAGACUCCCUUGGCCGCCCCCAGAGAAUUCUCUGGAGGGACUCCCCGAUUCGGUGGAUCUGUGUGGGGGCAGACAAGGACCUCUGGAUCAAGCAGUGGAGAUGAGUCAUCUGGAUGCAAGAACAGUUUUCUUAGUCAUAAGGGUAGCUAUGCAGUCCCCGUGCAGAUUUGUACUCUAGCUUACAAGGAAUCACUUAACUGAAUUUUUGGUCUGUUCAACAGAGAAAUAGACAUCAACCUGAGGUGUUCUAUGGAUGGUGAUAAUGUAUCCCAUGAUUGCUUCAAGUUUUUGUCCUCUAUUUUUAAAUAAGUUUAAAGUUAUGACUGGAGAAAACCUUGAAAUCAAAUGUAAAAGUGUUGUGAUAUUUGCCUGAAUUUGCAAAUUCCAAAACAACAGGUGGAAGAGGUGUUACUGUCCAAUUUGUAUCAGUGAGAUGUAAACUCAAAUGUUCAUGGACCAUAUUUCAAUGUUAAUGUUGACCAGCAAAGAUUUGUUUUGUUGGCCAUCAAAGUAAGGGGAAAACCAAAAUUGUAUUGUGUAAUUCUCCAUCAUCUAGUAGCUGGGAUGUUUAUUCUUGCUUAAUCUUGGUGGAUCUGUCAGAGUACUAGAGUUAUUGUGUUCCCUAGACAAGAAAUGACUGAGAGAAAACUAGCAAAAAUGAGAAAUCUGACAGAACAUUGCUGUCCUAAAAAGGGAGCACAAGGUACAAAUGUAUUUGCAUUAAUACACUGUUUUUAAGGCAAAAAGAAGAAUAAGAUGGAUGGAUGGAUGGAUGGAAGUUAAUAAUUAAUUAAUAAAAUAUAUCAUGAUUUGUUCAACAAUGUACAGUUUACAUCUUUUGGAAGCAUUAUAUGUGAGAACAAAGUAAGAUUAAUAACUUGGCAAAGACCUGGUCACUAACUGUGAGAAACACAUGAUUAACUGGGGGUGCUAUUCAGACAGAAGUAUUACAGAUUAAUUUCAUAGACAAAAUUUUACAUUGAUCUCCAGUAUGUACAAAAUUACUAACUUAACUAGUUCCUAGUCUACAAGAAUAUGAAAAUAUCACUGCUAUUUUGCCUAUCCAAGGAGUAUUUCUUUUUAGUUAAGUUCAUUAACUUUCUCUAUUAGGCUGGGGACUUAAAGAACUCACUGUUAACAGAAAUGACAUGAACUUUUUACAUUUGCGUCACUGCUUAUGAGAAUUUGAUCCAUGUUU
Non-coding RNA from Phalacrocorax carbo (great cormorant), 1389 nucleotides. Lineage: Eukaryota; Metazoa; Chordata; Aves; Suliformes; Phalacrocoracidae. The record is from RefSeq and is a predicted model, not a curated record.